This 194-nucleotide ribosomal RNA is filed under the name Fusarium sp. RNAcentral's name for it is "partial large subunit ribosomal RNA". It matches the Rfam family "Eukaryotic large subunit ribosomal RNA", at positions 82 to 279 of the family's 3401-position model. Lineage: Eukaryota; Fungi; Ascomycota; Sordariomycetes; Hypocreales; Nectriaceae. The record is from RNAcentral.
AGUAACGGCGAGUGAAGCGGCAACAGCUCAAAUUUGAAAUCUGGCUUUCGGGCCCGAGUUGUAAUUUGUAGAGGAUACUUUUGAUGCGGUGCCUUCCGAGUUCCCUGGAACGGGACGCCAUAGAGGGUGAGAGCCCCGUCUGGUUGGAUGCCAAAUCUCUGUAAAGUUCCUUCGACGAGUCGAGUUGUUUGGGA